This 87-nucleotide ribosomal RNA is filed under the name Salmonella enterica subsp. enterica serovar Derby. Lineage: Bacteria; Pseudomonadati; Pseudomonadota; Gammaproteobacteria; Enterobacterales; Enterobacteriaceae. The record is from RNAcentral.
GGCCGGGUGUGUAAGCGCAGCGAUGCGUUGAGCUAACCGGUACUAAUGAACCGUGAGGCUUAACCUUACAACGCCGAAGAUGUUUUG